Bicyclus anynana (squinting bush brown) is the source of this 398-nucleotide long non-coding RNA. RefSeq lists it as uncharacterized. Lineage: Eukaryota; Metazoa; Arthropoda; Insecta; Lepidoptera; Nymphalidae. The record is from RefSeq and is a predicted model, not a curated record. The transcript has 3 exons.
UUCGCAAAUCGCAUUCCUCGUUGUUAGAUAUUGGUAAAAAAAAACUAAAAAGUUAUUCUAAUAUAUUUUUUUAAUCAAUUUUGAAUUUGCUUAAGAACUUAUGAACAUCAUCUCAAGACGGGUCAUUGAAUUCAAGGGUAGGGUCUCGAGAUGCCAAUUCAACGUUACCGAGCCACGAAAAACACUACGUAUUUGGACAAAUAUCACAAGUGUUUUUGGAAAUUGCAGCAGCAACGGCAUCAUCCAUAAUCGUGUGAAAGAGAAAGUCUCAGAGCAGAGCAUGUGACUUGGGGCCAUGGUGAAGGCCAUGGGUAGACCCUUCAAAACUAAUUGACACUCCUCUUCUCCCUGUCCAACCUAAUUUGGUGAAUAUUACAUGCAUUCAAAAGCUUUGAAGG